UCUGGCGCUUAUGGCGGCGGGGUCCCACCCGUUCCCAUCCCGAACACGGCAGUUAAGCCCGCCAGCGCCGAUGAUAGGCGGUCCGCAGGGACCGAUCGAAAGUAGGACAGUGCCAGAU
This 118-nucleotide ribosomal RNA is filed under the name Vulcanimicrobiaceae bacterium. The record is from RNAcentral. Lineage: Bacteria; Bacillati; Vulcanimicrobiota; Vulcanimicrobiia; Vulcanimicrobiales; Vulcanimicrobiaceae. RNAcentral also lists the same sequence under 1 other name.